Molecule: ribosomal RNA, 644 nt
Filed under: uncultured bacterium
Lineage: Bacteria
Description: bacterial SSU rRNA
Rfam family: Bacterial small subunit ribosomal RNA
Source: RNAcentral
GGGGUUACGAUUCGGACCUAGUCUGAAGGCGACGACCGGCGCACGGGUGAGUAACGCGUACACGACCUACCUCAUACUGAGGGAUAGCCCUGGGAAACUGGGAUUAAUACCUCAUAGUACUAACAAAUUGCGAUUUAUUAGUUAAAGUUCCGGCGGUAUGAGAUGGGUGUGCGUUAGAUUAGCUAGUUGGUAAGGUAACGGCUUACCAAGGCGACGAUCUAUAGGGGGCGUGAGAGCGUGGACCCCCACACGGGUACUGAGACACGGACCCGACUCCUACGGGAGGCAGCAGUAAGGAAUAUUGGACAAUGGGGGCAACCCUGAUCCAGCCAUCCCGCGUGCAGGAAGACGGCCCUAUGGGUUGUAAACUGCUUUUAUAAGGGAAGAAAAUUAGUCAUUUAUGAUUAACUGACGGUACCUUAAGAAUAAGCACCGGCUAACUCCGUGCCAGCAGCCGCGGUAAUACGGAGGGUGCAAGCGUUAUCCGGAAUCACUGGGUUUAAAGGGUGCGUAGGCGGAUAAAUAAGUCAGAGGUGAAAGCUCUGAGCUCAACUGAGGAAUUGCCUUUGAUACUGUUUAUCUUGAAUUGUGUUGAGGUUAGCGGAAUGAGUCGUGUAGCGGUGAAAUGCAUAGAUAUGACUUAG